UGCCGGGUGUGGUUACGCCAUACAAUACCCUUAUGGGGAAAGCGUGACGACGGGCUUGUUGCCGUGUUUUUCAGCGCCCGGCAACCUUCUA
This is a non-coding RNA of Bartonella australis, 91 nucleotides long. Lineage: Bacteria; Pseudomonadati; Pseudomonadota; Alphaproteobacteria; Hyphomicrobiales; Bartonellaceae. The record is from Rfam.